RNAcentral lists this ribosomal RNA (468 nucleotides) under uncultured bacterium. RNAcentral's name for it is "partial 16S ribosomal RNA". It matches the Rfam family "Bacterial small subunit ribosomal RNA", at positions 28 to 507 of the family's 1533-position model. The record is from RNAcentral.
GACGAACGCUGGCGGCGUGCUUAACACAUGCAAGUCGAACGGAAAGGCCCUGCUUUUGUGGGGUGCUCGAGUGGCGAACGGGUGAGUAACACGUGAGUAACCUGCCCUUGACUUUGGGAUAACUUCAGGAAACUGGGGCUAAUACCGGAUAGGAUCUCCUGCACCAGUGUGGGGGGUGGAAAGUUUCGGCUGUUGGGGAUGGACUCGCGGCUUAUCAGCUUGUUGGUGGGGUAGUGGCUGACCAAGGCUUUGACGGGUAGCCGGCCUGGGAGGGUGAACGGCCACCUGGGGACUGCGAUAGGGACCAGACUCCUACGGGAGGCAGCAGUGGGGAAUCUUGCACAAUGGGAGGAAGCCUGAUGCAGAAACGCCGCGUGCGGGAUGACGGCCUUCGGGUUGUAAACCGCUUUCGCCUGUGACGAAGCGUGAGUGACGGUAAUGGGUAAAGAAGCACCGGCUAACUACGUG